GCAAAAGUAUCGGGGGCGGGACUCGCUGAGGUGCGAAAACUGGGCCAGGGGCAGGGCUUUGACCAGCUACUUGAGCGUGAAGGGGCGGCGCCCGCACGAAGGGGCGUCCCAGCUUGGAGGCGGGGCCCGGAUGGGAGGGGCGGGGCCGAGUGCAGUAUCCCGCCAGACUUUCCGCAGGGUGUGCGCGAGUGUCGGGAGCCGGAACUGGGCCUGGAGGAGCUCCUCCGCCACCGCUGUCAGCUGCUGCAGCAGCAUGAGGAGUACCAGGAGGAGCUGGAGUUCUGUGAAAAGCUGCUACAGACCUGUUUCUCCAGCCCAGCGGACGACAGCAUGGAUCGGUGAAACCAGGUGGCUUCUUGCCCCCUUCUCCGUGGGAACCCCAGGCCUCUUGCCUCCCUCCCCACCUACAAGGCCCUCUCCCAAGGGAUCGCAGGGCCUAGGUGCCUGGACCCAGGGUGUGCCAGCCCGUCUCUGUGCAGUCCCUGGAAGGGGCGCUGAGAAAGGCACCAGCUCCUUGGACCCCACCUCCCAUGCUCUCACUCUCAUCCCCGUUCUCUUGUCCACACAGCUCUUCCAAUAAAGGUGUUUCUCUUCCUCCUUCUCCUCCUUCACUGCCGCCUUUGUCAUCUCCUUUGGAGGGUGCAUGGGGGACGGGAGGAGGGGCACGGGUUUAAGGGACUUGGGGAGCCACUGGAAGAAUAAUAAAAGUGUUGCUCUUUAUCAUCU
RNAcentral lists this long non-coding RNA (726 nucleotides) under Homo sapiens (human). RNAcentral describes it as "non-protein coding lnc-HSPBP1-1:1". The record is from RNAcentral. Lineage: Eukaryota; Metazoa; Chordata; Mammalia; Primates; Hominidae.